GAUCCUGGCUCAGAAUCAACGCUGGCGGCGUGCCUAACACAUGCAAGUCGAACGCGAAAGUGGCUUCGGCCAUGAGUAGAGUGGCAAACGGGUGAGUAACACGUGGGUGACCUGCCUUCGAGUGGGGGAUAACACCCCGAAAGGGGUGCUAAUACCGCAUGAUAUCCUGCUUUUGAACAGGCGGAGAUCAAAGCCGGGGAUCGCAAGACCUGGCGCUUGAAGAGGGGCCCGCGCCCGAUUAGCUAGUUGGUGGGGUAAUGGCCUACCAAGGCGACGAUCGGUAGCCGGCCUGAGAGGGCGGACGGCCACACUGGGACUGAGACACGGCCCAGACUCCUACGGGAGGCAGCAGUGGGGAAUUGUUCGCAAUGGGCGCAAGCCUGACGACGCAACGCCGCGUGGAGGACGAAGAUCUUCGGGUCGUAAACUCCUGUCGAGCGGGACGAAACCCUUCCGGGUGAACAAUCCGGAAGGCCGACGGUACCGCUAAAGGAAGCCCCGGCUAACUCCGUGCCAGCAGCCGCGGUAAUACGGGGGGGGCAAGCGUUGUUCGGAAUUACUGGGCGUAAAGGGCUCGUAGGCGGCCCGCUAAGUCGGACGUGAAAUCCCUCGGCUCAACUGAGGAAUGGCGUCCGAUACUGGCGGGCUUGAGUUCGGGAGAGGGACGUGGAAUUCCAGGUGUAGCGGUGAAAUGCGUAGAUAUCUGGAGGAACACCGGUGGCGAAGGCGGCGUCCUGGACCGACACUGACGCUGAGGAGCGAAAGCCAGGGGAGCAAACGG
Molecule: ribosomal RNA, 781 nt
Filed under: uncultured Acidobacteriota bacterium
Lineage: Bacteria; Pseudomonadati; Acidobacteriota
Description: bacterial SSU rRNA
Rfam family: Bacterial small subunit ribosomal RNA
Source: RNAcentral